RNAcentral lists this non-coding RNA (23 nucleotides) under Arabidopsis thaliana (thale cress). The record is from RNAcentral. Lineage: Eukaryota; Viridiplantae; Streptophyta; Magnoliopsida; Brassicales; Brassicaceae.
GGCAUGUGAUACCUUUUCGGAAA